AGUAAUAUAUCGCUGAUAGUGUGGUACUGUGGUGUAGGGUGUGUAGUGUGGUUAAUGUACGUUAGGUGCGGUAGUAGAAAUAAAAGCUUAGCGUAAAAAAACAUAAAAAUAAGAGAAUGUCCGGUGCCGGUCGUAUUAUAGGUUAAAUAAAUUGAGAAUUUUUCCCAAUGCUUAGGUAGCAAUUAUCAAUUAAAGUGAUUUGUUGGUAGUUGGGGGGAAAGGACGAACGAUUCAGAAGGAAAUAUCGAGAUAGAAAUGGACAAUAGAAUAAACAUAUGCGACCCGGACGAGGACGAGAUAAACAAUGAGAUAUUUAAUGAAAUUGAGCCUGUUUCUUGGAUCAACGACGAGCCCAAUUAUGAUCUCGACGACAUCAACAUGUUCUUCCAUAGAGUCGAUUCUGAUCAGAUUAUAUACGAGGAGAAAAAAAAACGAUGCAAGCUCAUCGGUAAAUACGUAAUGGGCGAUGUACUGGGCGAAGGUAGUUAUGGAAAAGUUAAAGAGGUUCUUGACUCAGAGACGCUCUGUCGCAGAGCUGUUAAAAUAUUGAAGAAGAAGAAAUUACGCAGGAUACCAAAUGGAGAACAGAACGUACAGCGGGAAAUACAAUUACUGAGAAGAUUGAAGCACAAAAAUGUUGUUCAAUUAAUUGAUGUGCUUUACAAUGAUGAAAAGGAAAAAAUGUAUCUUAUAAUGGAAUUUUGUGUUUGCGGACUGCAGGAUAUGUUAGACAGUACUCCUAGCAAAAAGUUACCAAUUUGGCAAGCUCACAGCUAUUUUACGCAGUUGGUGGAUGGACUGGAGUAUCUGCAUAGCAAAGGGAUAGUUCAUAAAGAUAUUAAACCUGGAAAUUUACUACUGACACUCGAUCAAACAUUGAAAAUCAGUGACUUUGGAGUUGCAGAGGCCUUGGAUAUGUUUGCCAAAGACGACACUUGCACAACAGGACAGGGUUCGCCAGCGUUUCAACCACCCGAAAUAGCAAACGGAUGUGAAACAUUUGCUGGCUUUAAAGUAGACAUAUGGAGCUGCGGAGUAACAUUAUACAAUAUAACGACGGGUCUCUAUCCGUUCGAGGGUGACAAUAUUUAUAGACUUUACGAGAAUAUCGGACGAGGGGACUACACGAUACCAGGAGAUGUCGAAGAAAUGUUGGCGUCUUUACUCGAAGGGAUGCUCCAAAAAGACCCGGAGGAAAGAUUCACGCUUCAAGAAAUCCGUAGGCAUCCGUGGACUAUUUGUUGGCCACCGAGAGAUACGGAAGAAGUUGCGAUACCUCCUUUGAAGGGUCAGAAGUGGCACACGAUGACCGUUUUACCGUAUUUGAUGGAUUAUCUUUAUGGCGUUGAUAGCGAUCCAAUGUAUUAUACGGAACACCAACUGAACGAUGAUAAGAGGAAAGGUGAAAGCACUUUGUCGAAUCGACUUCUAGUAUUCUUGUCGAAAACCUGCAUCAUUCUGUAAAGCAAGAUACUUCCGUAUUGUUUAUUCGAGAAAUGAGGGACAAAAAAAUCUUAUGCAUCUAGAAGAGAGAAGACUUCAGGAGAUAGAUCGAUUGAGUGGCGAUCAAAAGAGUUCAUCAAGUAGCAGUAAUCCAAACAAAUCCAGCUCUAAUCACACGAAAAGACGGUGGCGAAAGAAUAUAUCGUGUUUGAGCGU
RNAcentral lists this unclassified non-coding RNA (1659 nucleotides) under Venturia canescens. RNAcentral describes it as "serine/threonine-protein kinase STK11, transcript variant X1". Lineage: Eukaryota; Metazoa; Arthropoda; Insecta; Hymenoptera; Ichneumonidae. The record is from RNAcentral.